RNAcentral lists this transfer RNA (74 nucleotides) under archaeon. RNAcentral's name for it is "tRNA-Met". It matches the Rfam family "tRNA". Rfam says of the family: Transfer RNA (tRNA) molecules are approximately 80 nucleotides in length. Their secondary structure includes four short double-helical elements and three loops (D, anti-codon, and T loops). The record is from RNAcentral.
GCCGCUGUAAUUUAGCCUGGUAGAAUGCCUGUCUCAUGAGCAGGAUAUCGUAGGUUCAAAUCCUACCAGCGGCA